This 439-nucleotide ribosomal RNA is filed under the name uncultured bacterium. RNAcentral describes it as "partial 16S ribosomal RNA". It matches the Rfam family "Bacterial small subunit ribosomal RNA", at positions 339 to 795 of the family's 1533-position model. The record is from RNAcentral.
CUACGGGGUGCUCCAGUAAGGAAUAUUGCACAAUGGGGGAAACCCUGAUGCAGCAACGCCGCGUGGACGAAGAAGGCCUUCGGGUCGUAAAGUCCUUUUCUGAGGGAAGAGGAAGGACGGUACCUCAGGAAUAAGUCUCGGCUAACUACGUGCCAGCAGCCGCGGUAAAACGUAGGAGGCGAGCGUUAUCCGGAUUCACUGGGCGUAAAGGGCAAGUAGGCGGUUGUUUAAGUUAGGUGUGACAUCUCUCGGCUUAACUGGGAGGGAGCGCUUAAAACUAGGCAACUAGAGGGCGGAAGAAGGGGGUAGAACUCCAAAUGUAGCGGUGGAAUGCUCAGAUAUUUGGAAGAAUACCAGUGGCGAAGGCGACCCCCCGGUCCGUGCCUGACGCUGAGAGGCGAAAGCUAGGGUAGCGAACGGAUUAGAUACCCGAGUAGUC